Molecule: ribosomal RNA, 500 nt
Filed under: uncultured bacterium
Lineage: Bacteria
Description: bacterial SSU rRNA
Rfam family: Bacterial small subunit ribosomal RNA
Source: RNAcentral
AGGUUCGAUUCUGGCUCAGGAUGAACGCUGGCGGCGUGCUUAACACAUGCAAGUCGAACGGGGUAUGAUUGAAAGCUUGCUUUGUUCAUACUAGUGGCGGACGGGUGAGUAACGCGUGGGUAACCUGCCUUAUACCGGGGGGCAACAGCUGGAAACGGCUGCUAAUACCGCAUAAGCGCACAGAUAGGCAUCUAUCAGUGUGAAAAAACUCCGGUGGUAUAAGAUGGACCCGCGUCUGAUUAGCCAGUUGGCGGUGUAACGGACCACCAAAGCGACGAUCAGUAGCCGGCCUGAGAGGGCAAACGGCCACAUUGGGACUGAGACACGGCCCAAACUCCUACGGGAGGCAGCAGUGGGGAAUAUUGCACAAUGGAGGAAACUCUGAUGCCAGCGACGCCGCGUGAGUGAAGAAGUAUCUCGGUAUGUAAAGCUCUAUCAGCAGGAAAGAAAAUGACGGUACCUGACUAAGAAGCCCCGGCUAACUACGUGCCAGCAGCCGC